RNAcentral lists this ribosomal RNA (199 nucleotides) under uncultured bacterium. RNAcentral describes it as "partial 16S ribosomal RNA". It matches the Rfam family "Bacterial small subunit ribosomal RNA", at positions 328 to 539 of the family's 1533-position model. The record is from RNAcentral.
ACGCUCGACACCUACGGGGGGCAGCAGUCGGGAAUAUUGCGCAAUGGAGGAAACUCUGACGCAGUGACGCCGCGUAUAGGAAGAAGGUUUUCGGAUUGUAAACUAUUGUCGUUAGGGAAGAGAAAGGACAGUACCUAAGGAGGAAGCUCCGGCUAACUACGUGCCAGCAGCCGCGGUAAUCUGAGCGGGCUGGCAAGGC